Molecule: long non-coding RNA, 1082 nt
Organism: Athalia rosae (coleseed sawfly)
Lineage: Eukaryota; Metazoa; Arthropoda; Insecta; Hymenoptera; Athaliidae
Exons: 2
Source: RefSeq, a predicted model, not a curated record
GCCUAGGGUAAACCUUGACUAGGUUACGCUAGGUUAUUUACCGCGUGACGUAUACGUAAACGCUUCCAGCUGGGGCCUUAAUUUAAGUGGUCCCCCCCGGCCCAAAAUCACGGGGAUCGUAAACUCGGACAAAGGAUCGAGGCGGGCGCAGCUGAUCCGGUCAGCUUGUUAUUAAUACUGUUGUCUGAAUUGCGAACGAAUCAGAUAUCGGAGGCGCAAAAAAUAUUUUUUUUCAUUAUCCUUAAACUCGAUUGCGACGAUUAAUUAAUCGUAGCGUACCUGUAUACGAGCAACGCGUGUGGAAGUAGACGGGGAAGAAAAAGAAAAAGAAAAAGAAAAAGAAAAAGAAAAAGAAAAAGAAAAAGAAAAAGAAGAAGAAAAGGUUAUUCAUGUGAAUUAAUAAAUUUCCGCGAUAUCGGUACAGAAAAUAACAACUCUGCGUAUAAUUUCAUUUUACGGCCAUCGCGAUCACCGUGAGAUUAUGUGUCGGAUAUAAAUCGGUUUCUUUUUAUAUAUAUAUAAACGAUAUUGUUAUACCUGCCAAGAGAGAAUUGCUGCCGAGUUACGGUUCGUUACUCGUCCCGAACACCGUGAAAACUCGAUUCUCUCUCUAGCUUCUAUACCCAGCGCUUCGUCGUUAAUAUUUUCAAUAUAUCGUUUACCCCCCCUGCGGCGGUACACCGUGGUGCCACAAUUUUCACGGCGUGAUUAAAAGCGCUCUUUUCUUCGUCUCCGUCGACUGUGACAUCGCGUACGUGCGAAUCGCGCGACACUAAAUUUCUCGGGGCGGUCCAUGAGGAGGAAAUCGUCGGAAUCGAGACCGAUCGAUUCCUCAGAUUUUCACGAAAGAGUUAAAACGGUCGCAGAGCACGGGGUUCGUACAGUCACGAAUACCGCGUCACGACGCCGGCCCACGCCGUCCAACGAUACAAUCAUUACGUACGUGAAGGUAUGACGCAUUGCCGACGGACUCUCCUCCUUACAUACAUUCUAAACGCGAUGUGUAGUAGCGGGUCUAACGUGGAUGCACAAUGGCUGCUGUAACUUUGAAAAAUAAAAUGAAAAAUUGAAUGGUGAAAAAA